Salmo salar (Atlantic salmon) is the source of this 2114-nucleotide non-coding RNA. NCBI's taxonomy places the organism in Eukaryota, Metazoa, Chordata, Actinopteri, Salmoniformes, Salmonidae. The record is from RefSeq and is a predicted model, not a curated record.
CAGGGCAUAGCGGGAUUUCUUGUAAGCUUCCUGGUUAGUCCCGCACCUUGAAAGCGGCAGCUCUACCCUUUAGCUCAGUGCGAAUGUUUGCUGUAAUCCAUGGCUUCUGGUUGGGCUAUGUACGUACAGUCACUGUGGGGACGACGUCCUCAAUGCACUUAUUGAUAAAGCCAGUGACUGAUGUGGUGUAUUCCUCAAUGUCAUCGGAAGAAUCCCGGAACAUGUUCCAGUCUGUGAUAGCAAAACAGUCCUGUAGUUUAGCAUCUGCUUCAUUUGACCAUUUUCUUUCACCUGCUAUACAUUAAGAUUUUAAACUUCAGACAGAGAAAAGGUUAAUUUUAUAUUUCAUGCCUAUUGAUGAAAUUAUAAUUUAGUGAAGUAGCGUUACUUAAAGAGCAACUGAAGGCAAUAAACAACUUCUAUUCUAUUCUCUGGUAGAAAAUGGCCUAUGUCUCAAAGCAACUAUACAUGAAUGAAAUGUAAGCAUUUCAUGAGACACCUAUUAAAGAUGUGUAACAUGAAAAUAUUGUCCCAUUUACAAUGUGUAAUUUAUUGACGGUCGCUAACUAGCCCCAGAGAUAGGUUAUCCAAAGUCACAACAAUUUUGACACUGUCCCACACCAGCCGGCAAAGAAGUUGGAUAGCUUGCUAGCUAAUUUAGGCUUCUUCCAGACACAAGAACUUGUUCGACUGUUUCAAGUUAUCUCAAAGGGUGUGUACUGUUUUGGCAGAGUGUAAGUACAAAUGCUUCCCACGUCGGAAAACACAACAGACACCCACAUCAAAGAGCGCCAAGACCCAAAACUUGUUAAGUUUCAUUUCCAAAUGAGGAGAAUUGAAACCAGGACUUGAUCAGGAAGUUCAGCCCUCUUUAAGAAAACAAUAGACAUACUUGGAACACAAGGAGGUUGGGGGCACCUUAAUUGGGGAGGAUGGGCUUGUGGUAAGGACUGGAGCGGAAUGGUAUGUGUUUGAUGCCAUUCCAUUAGCUCCAUUCCAGCCAUUAUUAUGAGCCAUCCUCCCCUCUGCAGCCUCCUCAGACUUGGAAAGCAUACUCUUUCUGUAUUGAAUAUUGUAUUGAAUAUGAAUAUGUAUUUUGUAUUUAUUUGUUUAAUUCCAAAUAUAAGUAUUUUAAUUAAUUCAAAGUAGAUUUUUUUUACAAGGUAAAUAUGAUACUAUCAAAGACACAAUGCAAGAUUUUUUCUGAAAACGGCCUAGGUCCACUAUGGUGACCUCGGAAACUGCAAAAUAAACUAAAUGGAGAAACAUAUGGAAUACAUGUUAACAACACAUUCAUUACACGUCCUUUACAUAGUUAUUGUCGGUAUUAGAUAGAACGUUGCGCCCCUGCCUGCCUGUGGGGAAAACAACUUGUGGUUACCUUUUUCAAAUGUAAUUUUCUUGUUGCCUGCUUGUUUUAAUCUAUUACAAAACUACAUUUAAGAAAAGUACAACGUCUAAAGAUUACUUUUCAACAUUGCCUGUGAUGGGGGUCACCUUGGUGUCAUGAUAGGGGCUGCACCAAAUGAUUGAUGUAUUAUAAUAAUUGAUUAUGCUUAUGUUGUAUUAAUAGAAGGGGAAGGGCUAUAAGACCCUCCCCCACUACAUUUAUAGGGUCUUGGACCACAGAUUAGCAAUAUAUGCAUUAUAAGGUUUAAUACUGUUCCACAGUUCUUUUCUAGUCUCUGCCUCUUAUACGAAACGGUCUGAGCAGAUGUGUGAGCCAUUGCAGUUAAAACAGGGUGUCUGUGAGAAAGCGCCUCAAGCCUAAAAGAGAUACAUAGACAUAGACCCCUGCAAGGGAGUAAAUAGAUAAGAGAGAAGUCAGACAUACCACUUUAAGCCACACGUGAAUGGAAAAUUACUGCUGAGCCCUUAGAGAAGACUGGACUAUUGUUUUCUCCUGCAAGUUUGUAUAACUGUAUAUGCAUGGGCUUGGUCUCAUGAGUAGAAGGUGUUGACGUAGGCAGUUACACCACUAGGGGUUGACUGCAAGUAUAUUAAAGCAACUUUGACCUUUUUUACUUUGCAGAACUAACUCUGAAACAGAAGUUUCCAUUGUCAACUUCUGUCUGCAAUUGCAUUAAUAAAGGUUUGAUUGAUUUACUUACCAA